This 83-nucleotide transfer RNA is filed under the name Alkaliphilus oremlandii OhILAs. It matches the Rfam family "tRNA". From Rfam's summary of the family: Transfer RNA (tRNA) molecules are approximately 80 nucleotides in length. Their secondary structure includes four short double-helical elements and three loops (D, anti-codon, and T loops). RNAcentral also lists the same sequence under 1 other name. The record is from Rfam by way of RNAcentral. Lineage: Bacteria; Bacillati; Bacillota; Clostridia; Peptostreptococcales; Natronincolaceae.
GCGGAUGUGGUGGAACGGCAGACACGCUAUCUUGAGGGGGUAGUACUCGAAUGGGUGUGCGGGUUCAAAUCCCGCCAUCCGCA